AUCUAUGGCCAUACCACUUUGAACGCACCCGAUCUCGCCUGACCUUGGAAGCUAAGCAGGGACGGGCCUGAUUAGUGCUUGGAUGGGAGACAAAAAUAGAUGGCUGGCCAGAUA
Myotis lucifugus (little brown bat) is the source of this 114-nucleotide ribosomal RNA. The record is from Ensembl. Lineage: Eukaryota; Metazoa; Chordata; Mammalia; Chiroptera; Vespertilionidae.